GGAUAGCUCAGUCGGUAAGAGCAUUUGACUCUUAAUCUCAGCAUCGUGGGUUUGAGCCGCAUGUUAGGCA
This is a non-coding RNA of Podarcis lilfordi (Lilford's wall lizard), 70 nucleotides long. The record is from the annotation of a GenBank genome assembly. NCBI's taxonomy places the organism in Eukaryota, Metazoa, Chordata, Lepidosauria, Squamata, Lacertidae.